Molecule: microRNA precursor, 55 nt
Organism: Oreochromis aureus
Lineage: Eukaryota; Metazoa; Chordata; Actinopteri; Cichliformes; Cichlidae
Source: Ensembl
AACAGGAAACACCUGCAGUCAGGUUGGUCACAUGACUCCAGUUAGCUCCUGUUAG